GGCUCGGUGGUGGAUGGUCCACACCUGCAAUACAUGUCAGUUUAACAUCACUGUGUGUAGGAGUGCCCGUUCGAUUCGGGCCCGAGCCA
Mycena leptocephala is the source of this 89-nucleotide non-coding RNA. NCBI's taxonomy places the organism in Eukaryota, Fungi, Basidiomycota, Agaricomycetes, Agaricales, Mycenaceae. The record is from the annotation of a GenBank genome assembly.